GGGUAUAGUUCAAUGGUAAAGUGCUUGCCUAGCAUGCACAAGAGGUCCUGGGUUUGAUCCCCAGUAUCUCA
Molecule: transfer RNA, 71 nt
Filed under: Marmota monax (woodchuck)
Lineage: Eukaryota; Metazoa; Chordata; Mammalia; Rodentia; Sciuridae
Description: tRNA.Ala
Source: RNAcentral